GUUUCUAAGUAGUUCUACUUUCCUACCUACUAGUCUGCAUGCUCAUGGGAGAAAAUACAAGUAAGAUCGAAUUAUUGUACGGCGGAUUAAUUCUCGCGAGAAAGGCUACGGAAAAAUUGUGGGGCAAAAACGAAAUUUCAAGAUUAAAGUUACACGUUAUAAACAGGGGUAGUAGCAUCCGAAAAGAUCUCUGAAAUUAGUUACUACAACAGAACAGAAUAACAUGUAAGAUAUAAUGAUUCCUAUAGAUAUUUCUAAAGCUGUCAUACAGUUGUUGUUCUCACUGAACGUUUGCGUUUCGGCAAUUUUCUUUAAACUUCUCGAUCUAAUAUUUUUGGGCCCUCUUUUUCUCAAAGGUUGUAAAUAAGUACAUUUCAAAUCAUGCUGCAGACAACGAUUACAUGGCUUUUCGCCGUCACACUUUACUCGACGAACACGACAACAAUCGCGUGCCUGUUUUGCCAAAGUCAUUUGUAAAGUAAAAUUCCAAUAGAAAGGAAAUUUUUUUUCUCAGUUCCAUUUGAAGUUUGCUUAUAUUUCUAUGAGAGAAGAAUCCUGUAAUCAUUUUCUGUUGCAUUUAAGUUAUUGAAUACAAUGGAACGGACAAUAAAAGCCGGGGCGGGAUAAAAGCGCCCGCGGGUGAGGAAGGGCGCUGCAAUGAGAACGAAAAAUAUGAGGUAACAAAGAAGCCACUAAUGUCCAUCGAAACCAAUUCCUUCUAAAUAUUCCCCCGAACAGUACAGUUCUUCUCAUUGAAAUAUCGACAAUGAAUAGGCACGUAUUAAGCCAAAAAAAAAAAAUCUCCGUUCUACUCGAAUAAUCUUCUCCUCCCAUACUCAGGAGGGAGAGUAGUGGAUGACACAAGAAAAAAAAAAUUCACGCCCACCCCCCUUCCUCGAGCAAACUAAGCUGGCGAAAAAUUCGUUCUGAAAAUAAGGCGGUUCUGCUUAAAUUUCUAUCUCUAGUAGUGUUAGAAUAACAUUCUGUGAUAGGUGAGAGGAAUCGCAAGGAUACUAACAUAGAUGAGUACCGCUUCUGUGAUAUUUGCUCCGUUGUACGGAAAGAGAUGUGUCUCUAUGCAAUAAACGCCAGGGACGGUUUUCUAAGCUUUUUCGUGCACUACUCCCCAUGGAUUUCCUCUCCUACUAACCUUGUGUAUGUCUUUAAGGAAUAUGGUAAAAACAAAAAAUCGAUGGACCUGAGAAAUAACGUUGGCUGCGCGGAGGAACAAUUGUCGGAGAAAAUCUCGGAGAGGAAAAUAUUCAGCUCAAGUUAUGGUACCUUACGUAAAGAUAGGGUCGCCGCAGGGGAAUUUUUCGGAGAAAUAGAAGGCAAACCCCACAAUUUUUACACAAUGGAGUACGUAGUCCCAAUUCAGCAAGACUUGAAGAACAAGGUUAAUUGCUAAGAUUUUUUUACCCCACAGAAUUAAGCUCCUUCAUGAACCAGUAUCGACAUUAUUGUCACUGGGGAUAAUCUGCCAAAGUCUUCUAUUAUUCCGUUAAGGUAAUAGGAAUAAAAAAUGUUGCACACUUAACUCCUAUCAUACAACACACCACUUGCGAAUCAACAAGACCAGGUUUUGCAAAAUUAAAAGGUAUUUAAAGGGAAUAUUAAAUCCAAAGUCGUUUAUGUUUUGUUUCCCUUCGGCAAUAGUCGAAGUUAUUAUAGAGCCUAAGUAAACC
RNAcentral lists this long non-coding RNA (1685 nucleotides) under Drosophila guanche. Lineage: Eukaryota; Metazoa; Arthropoda; Insecta; Diptera; Drosophilidae. The record is from RNAcentral.